RNAcentral lists this ribosomal RNA (931 nucleotides) under uncultured archaeon. RNAcentral describes it as "bacterial SSU rRNA". It matches the Rfam family "Archaeal small subunit ribosomal RNA", at positions 1 to 934 of the family's 1478-position model. The record is from RNAcentral.
UUUUCCGGUUGAUCCUGCCGGACCUCACUGCUAUUGGGAUGCGGCUAACCCAUGCGAGUCGAGAGUCUUCGGCCCUCUUGUGACGGCUCACUACCCCUCUGCAUAAUCUGCCCUUAGCGUGGAUGAUACUCUCGGGAAACUGAGAAUACUGCUCCAUAUAUCUGGGAUGCUAGAAUGCGCGUAAGUUUUUCUCCCCGGCGCCUAUCGAUGAGUCUGCUUACUAUCACGUUGGAGGAUGGGGACUGACCUGAUUAGCUUACUACGGAUACAGCUUGUGAGAGCAUUAACCCGGAGAUGAUAUCUGAGACACGAUAUCAGGCCCUGCGGUGCGCAGCAGGCGCGAAAGCUUCACCCUGCGAGAAAGCUGAAUGAGGGAUUCCCAAGUGCUCGCUCAUUAGAGUAAGCUGUUUCUAUGUGUAAAUUGCAUAGAGAGUAAGGAGUGGGUAAGACGGGUGUCAGCCGCCGCGGUAAUACCUGCUGUUCGAGUGGUGGGGGUUAUUAUUGGGCUUAAAGCGUCCGUAGCCGGUUUAGUAAAUGUCUGGGUAAAUCGUGUAGCUUAAUUAUACGAAUUCCGGGUAGACUGUUAAACUAGAGGCCGGGAGAGGUUAGAGGUACUUCUGGGGUAGAGGUGAAAUUCUGUAAUCCUAGGGGGACCACCAGUGGCGAAGGCGUUUGGCUAGAACGCGUUUGACGGUGAGGGACGAAACCCUGGGGAGCGAACCGGAUUAGAUACCCGGGUAGUCCCGGCUGUAAACGAUGCGUUGCUUGGUGUUGGUUGGGCUAUGAGCCCAAUUAGUGUCGGAGGGAAGUCUGUUAAGCAAGCUGCCUGGGAAGUACGGUCGCAAGGCUGAAACUUAAAGGAAUUGGCGGGGGAGCACCACAAGGGGUGGAGCGUGCGGUUUAAUUGGAUUCAACGCCGGAAAUCACUAGU